UGCCAAAACUAUAGUUUGUUAACAAGACAUUUGUCGAGUGGUUGAAAAAUACGUUUUAAUGACUCCAACCUAACAUGCUGACCAAACCUGACACGUCGCGUGCGCGAGCGUUGUAAAAUAAAUUUUGAAUCCAUGUUAUUCAAUUAUUGCACCCACACUGCUCGCGAGUGCCCACGAGCGUCUGCGUUGCUAAGGGCUAACGCUUCGAACACACCGACUGUGUUUUGCGUCACUGCUGCAUAACAUUUUGCGCAGCUAGGCAACUAUACUUUUGCAAAUGGUCGCAUGCUGUUGGACACAUGGAGGAGAUAAUCAUUUUCGCAGUAUCCUCAAAACGGUGUCUUUUUGACACAACUGCUGACAGCUACAGUGACAAACACAAAAAGUGCUGCUUUGAGACAAGUGUCCACGAUAGUAGGAUUGCCAGAAGAAGACUGUAGGAGGAAGUGGAGAGGACUCAGGGACAGGUAUCAGAGAGAGAGAAGGGCAGAGAAAGAGAAGAGGUCUGGGUCAGCAGCUUCAGGUCAGCAGCCUUGGCGCUUCUGCCACAUUCUUUCUUUUCUGGAUCCAUUUAUUGUGCCUCGGGCAACGAGUGGCAAAUUUUACAUCAAGACCCUCAACGUCACCUACAAAUGCGACCAUCACCUCCACCGGAGGAGUGAGACCAUCUACAACAUCAUCCACGAGUAUGACCACCACCGGUGCAGCCAUGGAAGAUGAUGAAAUGGAGGAAGCACCUCUGGAUCUAGGACCACCUGAGAUUAUUAUGAACCUCACGGAAGUGACCACUGAGGACCUCGUUGAACAGGAUGUGGCCGUGGAGAGAAACAGAGAGAGAAACGAAGAGGAACAACGUCACACCAGGCGUCAUCGGUGGUACCAGCCCCCAGGUCCACUCAACUCAUUUCAGCAGAGGCUCCUCCAAGCCGUCGAGAGGGAUGCAGCCCAACCUGAUGCUCACAGGUAGGAGGAUGAAGAGACCCUCUUUGCCACG
Oncorhynchus kisutch (coho salmon) is the source of this 994-nucleotide long non-coding RNA. RefSeq lists it as uncharacterized. The transcript is spliced from 2 exons. The record is from RefSeq and is a predicted model, not a curated record. Lineage: Eukaryota; Metazoa; Chordata; Actinopteri; Salmoniformes; Salmonidae.